RNAcentral lists this ribosomal RNA (253 nucleotides) under uncultured bacterium. RNAcentral's name for it is "partial 16S ribosomal RNA". It matches the Rfam family "Bacterial small subunit ribosomal RNA", at positions 524 to 776 of the family's 1533-position model. The record is from RNAcentral.
UACGGAGGGUGCUAGCGUUGUUCGGAAUUACUGGGCGUAAAGCGCGUGUAGGCGGCCCGCUAAGUCUGAUGUGAAAGCCCGGGGCUCACCCCCGGAAGUGCAUUGGAGACUGGCGGGCUCGUGUCCCGGAGAGGAGGGUGGAAUUCCUGGUGUAGCGGUGAAAUGCGUAGAUAUCAGGAGGAACACCGGUGGCGAAGGCGGCCCUCUGGACGGUGACUGACGCUGAGACGCGAAAGCGUGGGGAGCAAACAGG